UAGUGGGAUUGCCCCUUUAAUAAGUCUGCAUGGCCCCUUUAAAAAUGGCGCACUGAUUGCAUAAGGUGGGUGGGUACGUCAGGUAAUCACGUAGCUAUAUAGACACAGGUGAGAUGUAAUUUCCUCAUGACUUUGUAUCGAUGUGACCUGUUUGCGUAGGUCUUGUAUCUCCUUCACUCCUCGGUAAAGAUUAGUCGGUUACGUUCGGGCAUUGCUAGUGAGCAUGUGAGUGUUAUGCACGUCAAAGAAGUUGCUAGCUGCUGCUUUGCUGUGGCUUAAAUGCCGUUUCCAAUUUUGGGACGCAGAAUUUGUGUGCGCACGCGAUUGCACUGAACGUCUUCGCUGUCGCCUGUAUAACGUUCGCAUUGGAUGCGCUGUAAGACCGUGGCCUUUGAUUCUGGCGCCACCUGGUGUUCGCUGGUAACUCCAUCGUGUUUGUUUGUUUUUGUGUAUUUUGUUUAAGUGUGUGUGCAAUGGAGUUUGAUUGAAAUUGACUUUGUUUCAGUUCAAGUUGCUUCAUUGUAUUUUAUUUAUUAGGUUUUGUUUAUUAACCAAUUUAUUUCGUUUAUAUUAUUUGGGUUGGUUGUAUUUCUUUGUCUUGUUUCACAUUGAUGCUGCUCCAUUACGUAGUUGAGAUUGUGGUUUAUUUAUUUUUGUUCUUUCUGGUUUUGGUUUAUUUGGUUGAUGUGGAGUGGGUU
Cyprinus carpio (common carp) is the source of this 698-nucleotide long non-coding RNA. RefSeq lists it as uncharacterized. Lineage: Eukaryota; Metazoa; Chordata; Actinopteri; Cypriniformes; Cyprinidae. The record is from RefSeq and is a predicted model, not a curated record.